This 253-nucleotide ribosomal RNA is filed under the name uncultured bacterium. RNAcentral describes it as "partial 16S ribosomal RNA". It matches the Rfam family "Bacterial small subunit ribosomal RNA", at positions 524 to 776 of the family's 1533-position model. The record is from RNAcentral.
UACGUAGGGACCGAGCGUUGUCCGGAUUCAUUGGGCGUAAAGAGCUCGUAGGCGGCUAUUCAAGUCGAACGUGAAAUCUCGGAGCUUAACUCCGAAACUGCAUUCGAUACUGCGGUGCUUGAGGACUGGAGAGGAGACUGGAAUUCAUGGUGUAGCAGUGAAAUGCGUAGAGAUCAUGAGGAAGACCAGUGGCGAAGGCGGGUCUCUGGACAGUUCCUGACACUGAGGCACGAAGGCCAGGGGAGCAAACGGG